UAGGGAAUUUUCGGCAAUGGGGGGAACCCUGACCGAGCAACGCCGCGUGAGUGAAGAAGGUUUUCGGAUCGUAAAGCUCUGUUGUUAAGGAAGAACGAGUGUGAGAAUGGAAAGUUCAUGCUGUGACGGUACUUAACCAGAAAGGGACGGCUAACUACGUGCCAGCAGCCGCGGUAAUAUGUGGGUCCCGAGCGUUGUCCGGAUUUAUUGGGCGUAAAGCGAGCGCAGGCGGUUAGAAAAGUCUGAAGUGAAAGGCAGUGGCUCAACCAUUGUAGGCUUUGGAAACUGUUUAACUUGAGUGCAGAAGAGGAGAGUGGAAUUCCAUGUGUAGCGGUGAAAUGCGUAGAUAUAUGGAGGAACACCGGUGGCGAAAGCGGCUCUCUGGUCUGUAACUGACGCUGAGGCUCGAAAGCGUGGGGAGCGAACAGG
Molecule: ribosomal RNA, 429 nt
Filed under: Verrucomicrobiota bacterium
Lineage: Bacteria; Pseudomonadati; Verrucomicrobiota
Description: Verrucomicrobia bacterium partial 16S ribosomal RNA
Rfam family: Bacterial small subunit ribosomal RNA
Source: RNAcentral